Molecule: ribosomal RNA, 433 nt
Filed under: uncultured bacterium
Lineage: Bacteria
Description: partial 16S ribosomal RNA
Rfam family: Bacterial small subunit ribosomal RNA
Source: RNAcentral
AACGAACGCUGGCGGCAUGCCUAACACAUGCAAGUCGAACGAGACCUUCGGGUCUAGUGGCGCACGGGUGCGUAACGCGUGGGAACCUGCCCUUAGGUUCGGAAUAACUCCCCGAAAGGGGUGCUAAUACCGGAUAAUGUCUUCGGACCAAAGAUUUAUCGCCUUUGGAUGGGCCCGCGUUGGAUUAGCUAGUUGGUAGGGUAAAAGCCUACCAAGGCGACGAUCCAUAGCUGGUAUGAGAGGAUGAUCAGCCACACUGGGACUGAGACACGGCCCAGACUCCUACGGGAGGCAGCAGUGGGGAAUAUUGGACAAUGGGCGAAAGCCUGAUCCAGCAAUGACGCGUGAGUGAUGAAGGCCUUAGGGUUGUAAAGCUCUUUUACCCGGGAUGAUAAUGACAGUACCGGGAGAAUAAGCUCCGGCUAACUCCGUG